ACGCUGGCGGCAGGCCUAACACAUGCAAGUCGAGCGGUAGAGAGAAGCUUGCUUCUCUUGAGAGCGGCGGACGGGUGAGUAAUGCCUAGGAAUCUGCCUGGUAGUGGGGGAUAACGUUCGGAAACGGACGCUAAUACCGCAUACGUCCUACGGGAGAAAGCAGGGGACCUUCGGGCCUUGCGCUAUCAGAUGAGCCUAGGUCGGAUUAGCUAGUUGGUGAGGUAAUGGCUCACCAAGGCGACGAUCCGUAACUGGUCUGAGAGGAUGAUCAGUCACACUGGAACUGAGACGCGGUCCAGACUCCUACGGGAGGCAGCAGUGGGGAAUAUUGGACAAUGGGCGAAAGCCUGAUCCAGCCAUGCCGCGUGUGUGAAGAAGGUCUUCGGAUUGUAAAGCACUUUAAGUUGGGAGGAAGGGCAGUUACCUAAUACGUGAUUGUUAUGACGUUACCGACAGAAUAAGCACCGGCUAACUCUGUGCCAGCAGCCGCGGUAAUACAGAGGGUGCAAGCGUUAAUCGGAAUUACUGGGCGUAAAGCGCGCGUAGGUGGUUAGUUAAGUUGGAUGUGAAAUCCCCGGGCUCAACCUGGGAACUGCAUUCAAAACUGACUGACUAGAGUAUGGUAGAGGGUGGUGGAAUUUCCUGUGUAGCGGUGAAAUGCGUAGAUAUAGGAAGGAACACCAGUGGCGAAGGCGACCACCUGGACUGAUACUGACACUGAGGUGCGAAAGCGUGGGGAGCAAAC
RNAcentral lists this ribosomal RNA (745 nucleotides) under uncultured bacterium. Its description in RNAcentral is "bacterial SSU rRNA". It matches the Rfam family "Bacterial small subunit ribosomal RNA", at positions 33 to 773 of the family's 1533-position model. The record is from RNAcentral.